RNAcentral lists this non-coding RNA (28 nucleotides) under Gallus gallus (chicken). Lineage: Eukaryota; Metazoa; Chordata; Aves; Galliformes; Phasianidae. The record is from RNAcentral. RNAcentral also lists the same sequence under 8 other names.
UCUGGGUCGGGGUUUCGUACGUAGCAGA